RNAcentral lists this ribosomal RNA (442 nucleotides) under uncultured bacterium. Its description in RNAcentral is "partial 16S ribosomal RNA". It matches the Rfam family "Bacterial small subunit ribosomal RNA", at positions 338 to 795 of the family's 1533-position model. The record is from RNAcentral.
CCUACGGGAGGCAGCAGUGGGGAAUAUUGCACAAUGGGGGAAACCCUGAUGCAGCAACGCCGCGUGAGUGAUGACGGCUUUCGGGUUGUAAACUUCUUUUGUCAGGGAAGAGUAGAAGACGGUACCUGACGAAUAAGCCACGGCUAACUACGUGCCAGCAGCCGCGGUAAAACGUAGGUGGCAAGCGUUGUCCGGAUUUACUGGGUGUAAAGGGCGUGUAGCCGGGUUGACAAGUCAGAUGUGAAAUCCUGCGGCUUAACCGCAGAACUGCAUUUGAAACUGUUGAUCUUGAGUACUGGAGAGGCAGACGGAAUUCCUAGGGUAGCGGUGAAAUGCGUAGAUAUUAGGAGGAACACCAGUGGCGAAGGCGGUCUGCUGGACAGCAACUGACGGUGAGGCGCGAAAGCGUGGGGAGCAAACAGGAUUAGAUACCCUUGUAGUC